AGCUGCAUAGUGUAGGUGGUUAUCACGGCAGAUUCUGAUUUCGACGGAAAUCUCUGCAAACCACAGUUCGACUCUGUGUGCGGCCU
This is a non-coding RNA of Hyaloraphidium curvatum, 86 nucleotides long. Lineage: Eukaryota; Fungi; Monoblepharomycota; Hyaloraphidiomycetes; Hyaloraphidiales; Hyaloraphidiaceae. The record is from the annotation of a GenBank genome assembly.